CACAUCCUCACCAACUUGCUGUUUUCUCUUUUCUCCAUAAUAGCCAUCCUAAUGGGUACGAGCAUGACCUCAUCCUAACUAAUUGCAUUUGUGAAGAUCCUAUUUGCAAGCAAGGUCACGUUCUGAGGUUCCAGGAAGGACAAGAAUUUGAAGAUCCCACAUGCUUAAUCUGAGAUCAGUGCAACGGAGAGAAGGAGUCUGAGCUGGGUCGGUAGGAAAAUACCACCUGUACGGUGACAGGCGAAUCUUAAGGCCCCAGAGAGCCCGUGAAAGGCCUGCAUUGUGGUACGAAGCCUGCAUAGCAACCGGGAAGGGGUACGUAUAGCCAAGUGUCUCCAUGAAAUAGCACAGGAAUGUGCACAACGCCACAGACACACGUCUCAGAGCCUGCGCCAUACUGGAGUCUCCAGUCCUAGUUCUGCUGACAUUGGAGGCUAGAGUCCGGCAGCCUGAACUUGAACCAAGGUUUCCUAAUGGUUCUCAAUGACCCUAAAGAACGAGAGCCGCAGGGGAAAGCACCGUACGCUUGGGACAUAACCCUGCACCAAAGAGUUGUAUCAGGGCUGCUUUCUCUGAGAUCGACACCGCCUGAGACAGACUCCGAACUGGCUCCGCUGGGAAAAUGCCAUCCCUCCGGUGACAGGAAAGUAUGGUCACAGGGAAGCCCCGUAGAAGCCAGCAUCCUCACGCCACAUCUGCCCUGUGACUCUGAGGUAUUACCUGCUCUUCAGCCAGAGCUCGGGUUACAAUGUCGGCACAGCUGGGCUCCAGUCCCAGCCCAGCCACCUGCCGGCCGUGCGGCAUCUCGUUCAACCCACGAGUUGAACCCCCUCGUUCAAUCCAUCUGCCUGCCAUGCUUGCUGCUCUUGGGGAUGCCUGGGUCUUUCAAAAGCCCUGCAGGGGAUUCUAAUGUCCAGCUAGCAUUGACACUCGCUCCCAACUUUUCAUUCCUUACGUGAAAAUGAGAGGAACCACUUAUAAUCCAAACUUAUUUCAUGAGUAACUGUUAGGCAUUUUCUCACAUAUCUCCCAGGAAAAGCCCAGGAAUCCAGCACCACAUAUCCCCUAUUUCAUGCCGAGUCUCUGCUUAGUGGCAGAACCGAGCCCCAAACCCAACUGUUCAGCCAUUAACACAAUUCUUUCCACGCCUGACAUCUAUCAGCAUGUAUUUCUCGCACACAGCCGUUCUGAGUAUUAGCCAAGAAACUCCCAGCACAAUGCGUGACACAUAAGCCAACAAAUGUAAAAUACUUAAUUAGUAACUUGAGAUGGGAAUUUAUUUUAACCUACAUCUUCCCAGAUCUCUUGGAGUGCUCUUUUUUUUUUUUUUUUUUUUUAAGGCAAGGCAAUGUGUUCCUCUUCAGUGAUCACUAGCCGCGUAAAAUUCAAAAUCAGGGAACUUACCUCCAAUCCAGGAUUUCCCAGGCCAACUUUGCUCAGCCACAGUCUGACUUGGGUGGUCCUUUGGGGCCACUACAACAUGGUCUGUUUCCUGGAGUAGAACACAUUGGCCUUCCAGAAGGGUGGGGGUGCUUGGAAGUGGUGGUGACCCCACGCAGCCUGUGCCGUACCCCCUUCGUCUUCGUGUGGCUCUUGUUUCAGGAAAUGUUGGCCUCUUGUCUCUGGUGAUCCGAGUAUCUGCAAUGACUCCCUGAUGCAGGACAGAAAUCCAAGGCUAUGGUCAUGGCCCGUCAACCCAGUGGGCCAGCUGAGGGCUGUGAACCCUCCCGGUGACCAUCUGGAUCAUAAG
Molecule: long non-coding RNA, 1750 nt
Organism: Lynx canadensis (Canada lynx)
Lineage: Eukaryota; Metazoa; Chordata; Mammalia; Carnivora; Felidae
Exons: 3
Source: RefSeq, a predicted model, not a curated record